GAUGAAGAACGUAGCGAAAUGCGAUAAGUAAUGUGAAUUGCAGAAUUCAGUGAAUCAUCGAAUCUUUGAACGCACAUUGCGCCCGCCAGUAUUCUGGCGGGCAUGCCUGUUCGACCGUCAUUUCAACCCUCAAGCCCCCGGGCUUGGUGUUGGGGAUCGGCGUGCCCUCGCGGCGCGCCGUCCCCUAAAUCUAGUGGCGGUCUCGCUGUAGCUUCCUCUGCGUAGUAGCAACACUCGCACUGGAUCGCAGCGCGGCCACGCCGUUAAACCCCCCACUUCUGAAAGUUUGACCUCGGAUCAGGUAGGAAUACCCGCUGAACUUAAGCAUAUCAAUAAGCGGAGGA
Molecule: unclassified non-coding RNA, 344 nt
Filed under: soil metagenome
Description: partial contains 5.8S ribosomal RNA, internal transcribed spacer 2, and large subunit ribosomal RNA
Rfam family: 5.8S ribosomal RNA (bases 1-120)
Source: RNAcentral